UCGUUUCAGACGCUCCUUUUCCUCGACAAAUUGAAUGAGGUAAAGGUCCGAUCUGAGAUGAGA
This 63-nucleotide microRNA precursor is filed under the name Pristionchus pacificus. Its description in RNAcentral is "microRNA ppc-mir-8278 precursor". The record is from miRBase by way of RNAcentral. Lineage: Eukaryota; Metazoa; Nematoda; Chromadorea; Rhabditida; Neodiplogasteridae.